This 484-nucleotide ribosomal RNA is filed under the name uncultured bacterium. RNAcentral describes it as "partial 16S ribosomal RNA". It matches the Rfam family "Bacterial small subunit ribosomal RNA", at positions 30 to 507 of the family's 1533-position model. The record is from RNAcentral.
AUUGAACGCUGGCGGCAGGCCUAACACAUGCAAGUCGAGCGGAUGAAGGGAGCUUGCUCCUGGAUUCAGCGGCGGACGGGUGAGUAAUGCCUAGGAAUCUGCAUGGUAGUGGGGGAUAACGUCCGGAAACGGGCGCUAAUACCACAUACGUCCUGAGGGAGAAAGUGGGGGAUCUUCGGACCUCACGCUAUCAGAUGAGCCUAGGUCGGAUUAGCUAGUUGGUGGGGUAAAGGCCUACCAAGGCGACGAUCCGUAACUGGUCUGAGAGGAUGAUCAGUCACACUGGAACUGAGACACGGUCCAGACUCCUACGGGAGGCAGCAGUGGGGAAUAUUGGACAAUGGGCGAAAGCCUGAUCCAGCCAUGCCGCGUGUGUGAAGAAGGUCUUCGGAUUGUAAAGCACUUUAAGUUGGGAGGAAGGGCAGUAAGUUAAUACCUUGCUGUUUUGACGUUACCAACAGAAUAAGCACCGGCUAACUUCGUG